RNAcentral lists this ribosomal RNA (202 nucleotides) under uncultured bacterium. RNAcentral describes it as "partial 16S ribosomal RNA". It matches the Rfam family "Bacterial small subunit ribosomal RNA", at positions 328 to 539 of the family's 1533-position model. The record is from RNAcentral.
ACGCUCGACACCUACGGGAGGCAGCAGUGGGGAAUAUUGCACAAGUGGGGGAAACCCUGAUGCAGCACGCCGCGUGAAGGAAGAGUUGNUGUAAUUNUAACUUCUAGUGAAGANAGGAAGAAACGUGACGUAACGNGACAAGACCGACCCGGCUAACUACGUGCCCAGCAGCCGCGGUAAUCGUGGAGCGGGCUGGCAAGGC